GGGGCCCGCACAAGCAGUGGAGUAUGUGGUUUAAUUCGAAGCAACGCGAAGAACCUUUACCAGGGCUUGACAUCCCUUGAAGCAGCUAGAGAUAGCUGUGUCCUUCGGGACAAGGAGACAGGUGGUGCAUGGUUGUCGUCAGCUCGUGUCGUGAGAUGUUGGGUUAAGUCCCGCAACGAGCGCAACCCCUGUGGUUAGUUGCCAGCAAGUAGCGUUGGGCACUCUAGCCAGACUGCCGGUGAUAAAUCGGAGGAAGGUGGGGACGACGUCAAAUCAUCAUGCCCUUUAUGUCCUGGGCUACACACGUACUACAAUGGCCGUUACAACGGGAAGCGAAGGAGCAAUCCGGAGCAAAUCCCUUAAAGGCGGUCCCAGUUCAGAUUGUGGGCUGAAACUCGCCCACAUGAAGGCGGAAUUGCUAGUAAUUGCAGAUCAGCAUGCUGCAGUGAAUACGUUCCCGGGCCUU
This 466-nucleotide ribosomal RNA is filed under the name uncultured Oscillospiraceae bacterium. RNAcentral describes it as "bacterial SSU rRNA". It matches the Rfam family "Bacterial small subunit ribosomal RNA", at positions 916 to 1382 of the family's 1533-position model. The record is from RNAcentral. Lineage: Bacteria; Bacillati; Bacillota; Clostridia; Eubacteriales; Oscillospiraceae.